Small nuclear RNA from Vombatus ursinus (common wombat), 103 nucleotides. Lineage: Eukaryota; Metazoa; Chordata; Mammalia; Diprotodontia; Vombatidae. The record is from Ensembl.
UUGCUCACUUCAGCAGCACAUAUACUAAAAUUGGAAUACCAAGAAGAUUAGCAUAGCCCCUAUGCAAGGAUAAUAUGAAACUAGGAAUCUUGAUUGCAUAUAU